GCGUGUCUUGCAUCCACCGCCUCCCGACGACCUACAAGACCGAGCCCCUGACCCCGCGGACGAACCCUAGCCUCUCCUCCCUCUCUCACUCGCGCCGCUUUUUCUCUUGCGUACAUGGCCGAACAACCGCUACCAAGUUCACCGUCGAGAUGCCGUGGCCACCGGCCUUCCCCCAUCGCACCACCAUGUCCAGGAGCAACACCAUCAUCACCUUCAUCGCCUACGUCCACGGAUUGGAGCCGGGUCAUCAAGGAUUGAGCGCAUCGACCUCUUCUUCAUCAUCACCGACCACUGCUUCUCGGCGUCGAUCCGCGCUGCUCCGACCACCCCCGGCCUCGCCGUCUGCUCCCCCAGCUCCGCGGUGAGCAUCUCCACCGAUCCUCCCGCUUUCCCCCUUGUUUAGUCGCCGUUUGCGCCGCCCACCACUUCCCUGUGGGCUCGUGCUCGCGCUCACCGUGCCGGCCGCGCCUCGCAUGGCCGUGCGCCACCCGCGCCCUGCCUUGCCGAGGCCGCACCCUGGCCGCGUUCUGCACGCCCCUGCGUGCGCCCGGGCUUGUGCGUGGCCGGGCCCUGCCGCCCCUGCUGCCUUGGCCCCUCGCGCCCCGUGCGGCCAUAGCCGGCCGCUGCGGCUUCCUGCUGUUGUGUUCUGCAGCUGGUGCCGCUGCUGUGCUGCUCUGCUUACUGCCGUCUACGUUGAUGCUGUUUUUUUUUCUACUGCCGUUUCUGCUCUCUGAUGCUUCUUGCUGCUGCUCUUUGCUGCGCGCUCGCCCAGCUGCCCCAGCCGUUCGCUGCCGCCCCUGUUCCCGAGCGAUGCUGCUGGUCGUGGCCGUCAUACGCUGCAUGCAUACGUCCCUAGCUAGGUGAGGCACCGCUUGUGCCUCUGGCCAUGGCCGUGGUUGGUGUGUGCUAGUAUGUGUAUGUGCGUGAGCCUGUGUGGUGUUUAAUUAGAAUAUAGGAUUAGUUUAUGACUAACCUAGCGCUAAUCUCUUCCUAAUAAUAAAGCACGGAUUGACUCCGUGGGUUCACCGUCACAAUGCGCUUUCUUCUCGUGUCAUAAUACGCUUUUAUGAUUCGUAUAGACAAAAUCGUAAUAUAAACAAGGUGGUACUAAUGGUCCUUGCCCACGUAUCCGAAAAAAAUAUUCACUGAUGAAGGUAUAGAACUCACAACCUCCAGGUUAGUAAACGAAUGCUUUUAUGAUUCGUAUAGACAAAAUCGUAAUAUAAACAAGGUGGUACUAAUGGUCCUUGCCCACGUAUCCGAAAAAAAUAUUCACUGGUGAAGGUAUAGAACUCACAACCUCCAGGUUAGUAAACGAAUGCUUUUAUGAUUCGUAUAGACAAAAUCGUAAUAUAAAAUACUAAUGGUCCUUGCCCACGUAUCCGAAAAAAAUAUUCACUGGUGAAGGUAUAGAACUCACAACCUCCAGGUUAGUAAACGAAUGUCGUGGCCAACUCAACUAGCCCCUGUUGUGUGUACGAAUCAAAGUUGAUUGUGUUGUUAAAUUGUCCCACCUCGCUCCCUUACAUACAAUAUACCCAACUUAUAUACGUCUCUCAGUUCCCUCGGUAUCAGAAAGAGGUCUCAAGGAUUAUGACAGAGAAGAGAUGGUGGAAGGAAGAGAGGCUAAGGAAGGAAAUAUAUAUGUAGAGGCUAAGAAAGGAAAGAGGUGGCUAAGCUAAGGAAGGGAAAACAAGGAAGGAAAGAGACGAUAAAUAUGGGCUGCUGGAAAGAGAGGAUAAUUAACUUUCUAUAUAAGGACGGCGGAUAUGCAUGUUGAUUCACGUUGCCUGUUGUGUGAUGCCCUGAUCAAUGGAUGAAAGAAGCUGGAGGGACUAAGAGGAGAGGAUGUGAAUAAUUCAAACUCUCCAUUCUCAUGCCAGGUUGAAAGGCUCAAGAUAGAAAAACGUGAGUGGUGUUGAUCUUUUUUAUUACUAAUUGACUUGGAAAAUAACUCUAACUCCAUGCUUGAAAGUCUCAAGAAAAAAACAUGAAGAGGUUUUGGUGCUGAUCGUUGUUAACUGAAGUUGGAUUUGGUGUUUGUUUGUGUUCUUCACAGACUGGUAGAAUGGUACUAACUACUACCUGACAUAAAAGCCCGAAAGGAAACGAACACCAUCCAUAGUCCAAAUUGGAUACGACAUUUUUGGACUAACAUAUUUACACGGAAGCAUGAUAAUAACUACUACGACAUAAAGCUAGAAAAGAAAUGAACACCAUCCAUAGUCCAAAUAGGAUUGCACAUUGGUGGACUAACAUUAUGUACACAGGUUAGCACACACGCGGGAAGCAUGUAUACCUAGAUGGCCUGUGAAGUAUACGGCGAAGAUUUAUACAUGGAAGCACAAAACCAGACAAUUUGUCUUUAGGUAUAUACAAAAUAAAUUGUCUUCAUAGAAAGUGCAUGUCUUAUAUAUCCCGAAAAAGUAUGGAAGUGUUUGGUAGUGUUUUCCCGCUACUGAUUGUUGUCAAUCCUUAUGAGGACGAUCCAUGGACCAGGUGCGAGGAGUAGAUUGCGCAGGGCGGCCCUUACGCCAACUUGAUGAGAUUAUAGUUUUUAAAAUUUUAAACAUCCCCUUGCAUUGGUACACUUCAAUGACAGGUGUGUCGUGUAGUGGCCGAGCUGAUCACCUCAGGAUUGACAACUUUCGGACGUGUUAUGAUCAAGUGGACAAUGCGGCAACUAUCAACAAGGGCGGAAGAAGUAUAAGAGGCGGCAGGGGUGUGGUGCCGUGUUGAAAUAUAUGACGUCGCCUGUGGAAGUCUUGAGAUAUGGUAAUUGAGUUAAUUAAGGGCAUGCAAUAUUUUUUCUCCCGUUGCAUCGCACGGGCAUAUGUGCUAGUUUAGUUCAAUGAAACAAUGUCACGUGGCCCUAUUUUUAAUCUAGACACUAGUUAAUUUUUGUGACAAUGACAUAUGGGCCACACUGUCUCUGUUGACUAGUCCAACGUUGACUUGAUUGACUGGGUUGACUGCACUUUAGAAUUUAAUAUUCGAAUUUAAAAUGAUUCUAGAAAAUUUCAGAAAACUGAUAAAGCUUUGAAAAUUAAUAUAAAUUAAAUCGUAGCUCGGAUGAAAAAGCUUUGUACACGAAAGUUGCUCAGGUCGACUAGAUGAAUCCGGAUACGCAGCCCGUUCGUCCGCCACGCGUCCCUAGCAUAGCGAACCUGCAACAUUUUACCUCCGGUUCAUCUGUCCGAAAAUGCGAAACACCGGGGAUAUUUUCCCGGAUGUUUUCCCUUUCCGCCGGUAUCACCUACUAUUGCGUUAGGGCACACCUAGCACCUCUCCUUGUCAUGUCUUGCAUCGUCAUGCUUAUGUUUGCAUUAUAUUUAUUGUUUCUUCCCCCUCUUCUUUUCGGUAGACUACGAGACCGAUGAUGUUGCUGCCCCGUUCGACUACGGAGUUGACGACCCCUCUUUCUUGCCAGA
This 3431-nucleotide long non-coding RNA is filed under the name Triticum aestivum (bread wheat). RNAcentral describes it as "long non-coding RNA (TAES_LNC016319)". Lineage: Eukaryota; Viridiplantae; Streptophyta; Magnoliopsida; Poales; Poaceae. The record is from RNAcentral.